Molecule: long non-coding RNA, 356 nt
Organism: Oncorhynchus tshawytscha (Chinook salmon)
Lineage: Eukaryota; Metazoa; Chordata; Actinopteri; Salmoniformes; Salmonidae
Source: Ensembl
AAAAAGUUGUAAUAGAGUAAAGUUGUAAUAGUAAAAAGUUGUAAUAGAGUAAAGUUGUAAUAGUAAAAAGUUGUAAUAGAGUAAAGGUGUAAUAGUAAAAAGUUGUAAUAGAGUAAAGUUGUAAUAGAGUAAAGUUGUAAUAGUAAAAAGUUGUAAUAGAGUAAAGUUGUAAUAUAGUAAAGUUGUAAUACAGUAAAGUUGUAAUAGAGUAAAGUUGUAAUAGUAAAAAGUUGUAAUAGUAAAAAGUUGGAAUAGAGUAAAGUUGUAAUAUAGUAAAGUUGUAAUAGAGAAAAGUUGUAAUAGUAAAAAGUUGUAAUAAAGUAAAGUUGUAACAGAGUAAAGUUGUAAUAGAGAAA